UUGGUGCACAUAGUUUUAUUAAAUACAAAAUAUGAUAUAACAUUUUUAUUCAACCAAAACAGCCUGGAAAGUGAAAGUCUUCAAUGCAAAUGUGAACAAUAAGCCUCAAAAAUCGACGCAUGUUGAACUGAGAGACACAGCAACCUUGAAUGGUAGUUGUUACAGUAGACUUGCAGUUGGAAAGUGUUUGAUGCCAAGACUUCUUUGAGAGUUAGGAACAACGCGACAAACUUGGUGGAUGCUUCUGGAUUAACCAAAAACUUUCCCUCAUGGGACUCUCUGUACCAUUCUCGAAAAGCAGUAAUAUUUUCUCUUUAUAUACACAUUAGCAGCAAGAGAAGAGAGAGCUUGUGACUUGUGAGAGAAGCUUGAGGGUAUUUUGUUAACUGUGUUUUUCUAGGAGUGUUUCAAAGAGACUGCUAGCAAGUAAUGGGACCAGGAGGACCAGGAGGACCGCCAGGGUGGGGUCCACCCCCGCCUGGCCCUGGCGGACCUCCGGGAUUAUUCGGCGGCUUUUGUGACGUAAUUGGUUCAUGCUUGAACUUUCUGUGCUGUUGCUGGUUGCUGCAAGACUGCUUUGGGGGCCCAGGAGGGCCCCCAGGCCCUCCGGGUUUCGGCCCGCCACCUCCAUGAUUGGACUGGCACUGUCCAUGCACAGUGUUCAUUGUUGUCUUAAUUUAUGUUAUCUAAAUAAUAAUGUAAGUUGUUGAGACUCUUGUAUCUUGUUACUUAAUUAUGAUUUUAUGAUAUUAAGGUUAUGAUUUUAAUAAUAAAA
Molecule: long non-coding RNA, 775 nt
Organism: Mangifera indica (mango)
Lineage: Eukaryota; Viridiplantae; Streptophyta; Magnoliopsida; Sapindales; Anacardiaceae
Exons: 2
Source: RefSeq, a predicted model, not a curated record